This 88-nucleotide non-coding RNA is filed under the name Pseudomonas sp. SJZ103. The record is from RNAcentral. Lineage: Bacteria; Pseudomonadati; Pseudomonadota; Gammaproteobacteria; Pseudomonadales; Pseudomonadaceae.
GUGGGAGGGGGCUUGCUCCCGAUUACAGUAGGUCAGUCAAUACAUCGGGAGACUGAUACACCGCUAUCGGGAGCAAGCCCCCUCCCAC